GUCACAGUUGCUCAUAAUAAAACUACUGUAGAUUGACUAUAUAUAAGCAUUGACUCUAUUAUGAGUUUUUGUAGUGGAUGUUGGCUUCAAUUAGUUGAGCUGUGGGAGCAAACUGUACAUCUAGAUGAGAUCUAUUAACCUUGAUAGAGAGGAGUAGUUCUAUAAGAUUUAAAAAAUUGAGUCCACAAGUCCAUGGCCAUAGCAGUGUGAUUGAUGGAAAAGAGUUUUUAUUUGGAA
Molecule: long non-coding RNA, 237 nt
Filed under: Elaeis guineensis (African oil palm)
Lineage: Eukaryota; Viridiplantae; Streptophyta; Magnoliopsida; Arecales; Arecaceae
Description: long non-coding RNA (EGUI_LNC074591)
Source: RNAcentral